This 93-nucleotide transfer RNA is filed under the name Xylaria bambusicola. RNAcentral describes it as "tRNA-Thr". It matches the Rfam family "tRNA". From Rfam's summary of the family: Transfer RNA (tRNA) molecules are approximately 80 nucleotides in length. Their secondary structure includes four short double-helical elements and three loops (D, anti-codon, and T loops). Lineage: Eukaryota; Fungi; Ascomycota; Sordariomycetes; Xylariales; Xylariaceae. The record is from RNAcentral.
GCCUCUAUGGCACAGGGGUAAUGCGUGUCACUCGUAUGUAAUUGUGCUUGCGAGUUAAUGACAAGAUCCGCGGUUCGAUUCCGCGUGGAGGCA